CUUGAUUUUUCCCUUGGCCGCGUUGGUUUCCUGGGCGUGUCUUUCUUCUCUGCAGGCAGCCACGCUCAUCUUCCUGGCCGCGCUCAUCUUCCUGCUGCUCCAGCGCGCCCAGCUCCCAGCUCGGAUCCCUGCCUCAACUCGCCUCCCUCACGGCGCCCUCCCUCCGUUCCUUCUCCUCCAUGGCCGUCGGUCCUCCCCGCGCUGCUCUCUGUCUCUCUCCUAGCCGCGGUCGGCUCUGGCCCAGGUCCGAUCGGUGCUCCUCCCUGCUGUAGCGCCGGUCCCAGCUCGGAUCCCUCCCAGCCGCGGCUCUCCGGUGUUUGGCCCUGGUCCAAGCUCCUGCUCGUCCAGCCCCCUUCCCAGGCGCCCCUGGCUGAGCUCCCCCAUGGCGUCUCCCCCAUCCAUGGCUGUGUCGUUCCCCUGCUCUGGUGGCUGAGCUAUCUCUCUUGUGCUCGACGAAACGACCAUGAGGAGUUUUGUGUUGUGUGCAGCCCCAUAUGCGACACCGUCGAACCCCGGAUGUGAGCAGAGAAAUCUUUGGAGGUUUGGUUGAAUGAAAGCGAAAUCCCGAGGUGUCGUUCAUUAGGUGCUCGACGUAUGGGCUAAAGUGUAGCUUGACGUUGUGCUUAUACUUUCCGAGUUGAAUUUAAUUUUGGGUGAAUUCCUUCGCUAUCUAUAAUUGUCAGCUUGAAUGAUGGGUUAAAUAGUUAGGUGGUCGAUCACUCUUUUGUGAUUAGCAUAGGUACUUGUGGUUAGCAGGUGUGGUGUGAUCUCCGAUUCCCUGUUGUUGGUGUCUUGCUUCAUCGUAACCAUAGGGAAUGAUGUCUUUCCUCUAAUUACUUGUAAUAAUUGUGUUUGAUUUAUAUGUUGUCUUAGCUAAUUAAUGAAAGGCCUUUGUUUGGUG
This 901-nucleotide long non-coding RNA is filed under the name Zea mays. RNAcentral's name for it is "drought responsive lncRNA". Lineage: Eukaryota; Viridiplantae; Streptophyta; Magnoliopsida; Poales; Poaceae. The record is from RNAcentral.